This 541-nucleotide ribosomal RNA is filed under the name uncultured bacterium. RNAcentral's name for it is "bacterial SSU rRNA". It matches the Rfam family "Bacterial small subunit ribosomal RNA", at positions 778 to 1319 of the family's 1533-position model. The record is from RNAcentral.
AUAGAUACCCAGGUAGUCCACGCCGUAAACGUUGGAUACUAGGUGUGGCGGUUAUACCAAUGACUGCCGUGCCGAAGCUAACGCAUUAAGUAUCCCGCCUGGGGAGUACGGCCGCAAGGCUAAAACUCAAAGGAAUUGACGGGUCCCCGCACAAGCGGCGGAGCAUGCGGCUUAAUUCGAUGCAACCCGAAGAACCUUACCUGGGUUUGACAUCACGGGAAAAGCUGUAGAAAUACAGUGUCCAUUAGGGCCCGUGACAGGUGGUGCAUGGCUGUCGCCAGCUCGUGUCGUGAGAUGUUGGGUUAAGUCCCGCAACGAGCGCAACCCUUGUCCUAUGUUGCCAGCGGUUCGGCCGGGGACUCAUAGGAGACUGCCGGGGAUAACUCGGAGGAAGGUGAGGACGACGUCAAGUCAUCAUGCCCCUUAUAUCCAGGGCUGCACGCAUGCUACAAUGGCCGGUACAACGGGCAGCGACCCCGCGAGGGUGAGCGAAUCCUAAAAAGCCGGUCCUAGUUCGGAUUGAAGUCUGCAACUCGACUUC